UUACUCAAAUUUCAAGUGUACGCACUCGUUGGAUGUGGAAUUAAAUUCUAUCUCUGACAAAUACCUACUUGCAUACUUUUGAUAGACUCACAGUGAGAUAAACUGGAGAUACAUGAAAAAACGCAUUUCUCACUUGUUGGAUACGGAAUUUAAUUCCACAUCCAAUGACUGCCUACACUUGAAAUGUGAGUAA
Molecule: microRNA precursor, 193 nt
Filed under: Picea abies (Norway spruce)
Lineage: Eukaryota; Viridiplantae; Streptophyta; Pinopsida; Pinales; Pinaceae
Description: miR11484 stem-loop (pab-MIR11484)
Source: miRBase by way of RNAcentral